RNAcentral lists this ribosomal RNA (497 nucleotides) under uncultured bacterium. RNAcentral's name for it is "partial 16S ribosomal RNA". It matches the Rfam family "Bacterial small subunit ribosomal RNA", at positions 28 to 507 of the family's 1533-position model. The record is from RNAcentral.
GAUGAACGCUGGCGGCGUGCCUAAUACAUGCAAGUCGAGCGAACAGACGCGGCGCUUGCUCCUCUGACGUGAGCGGCGCACGGGUGAGUCACACGUGGAUACCCUACCUAUAAGACUGGGAUAACUUCGGGAAACCGGCGCUAAUACCGGAUAAUAUAUUGAACCGCAUGGUUGAAUAGUGAAAGACGGCUUUGCGGUCACUUAUAGAUGGAUACGCGCCGCAUUAGCUAGUUGGUAAGGUAACGGCUUACCAAGGCAACGAUGCGUAGCCGACCUGAUAGGGUGCUCGCCCACACUGGAGCUGAGCCACGCUCCAGACUCCUGCGGGAGGCAGCAGUAGGGAAUCUUCCGCAAUGGGCGGAAGCUUGACGGAGCAGCGCCGCGUGAGUUAUGACGGUCUUCGGAUCGUAAAACUCUGUUAUUAGGGAUGAACAAAUGUGUCAGUAACUAUGCACUUCUUGACGGUAACUAAUCAGAAAGCCCCGGCUAACUACGUG